Non-coding RNA from Paramuricea clavata, 338 nucleotides. The record is from the annotation of a GenBank genome assembly. NCBI's taxonomy places the organism in Eukaryota, Metazoa, Cnidaria, Anthozoa, Malacalcyonacea, Plexauridae.
AGGAUGUGCAUGACUUAGCUUACAUUGGUCCAGCUGUAGCUGCAGAGCAGUUGACACAAAAACUAAAGGAAUUUGGAUAUAAGGAUGAUGUCAGUAUUCUAGAUCUCGGCUGUGGUACUGGUUUAGCUGGAGAACAAUUACACAAGCGUGGUUAUAAAAAUGUAGAUGGCUUAGAUCUCAGUCAAGAGCUGCUGGAGGUCGCCCAAGCAAAAGCCACGUAUAGGUAAUAACUAUACACAUAUUAUAAUGUUCCAGAGAUACAUAUCAUACGCCUGUAUUCUUAAAGCUUACUCACACUCAAAGAGUGGAGUUGCAAUCUGAGCUUCCCUUUAGUGUCA